CACGAACCGUACGAACGUUAUUCGGAAUUACUGGACUUAAAGGGUUUGUAGGCGGCCUUGUAAGUCAGGUGUGAAAGCCCUCGGCUCAACCGAGGAACAGCGCUUGAUACUGCAAGGCUUGAGGGAGACAGGGGUAAGCGGAACUGAUGGUGGAGCGGUGAAAUGCGUUGAUAUCAUCAGGAACACCGGUGGCGAAAGCGGCUUACUGGGUCUCUUCUGACGCUGAGGAACGAAAGCUAGGGUAGCGAACGGG
Molecule: ribosomal RNA, 253 nt
Filed under: uncultured bacterium
Lineage: Bacteria
Description: partial 16S ribosomal RNA
Rfam family: Bacterial small subunit ribosomal RNA
Source: RNAcentral